AUGCUCAUUUCAGCAGCACAUAUACAAAAAUUAGAAUGAUACAGAGAAGAUUAGCAUGGCCCCUGCACUACGAUGACAGACAAAUCUGUGAAGCAUUCCAUAUUUUU
This 107-nucleotide small nuclear RNA is filed under the name Dasypus novemcinctus (nine-banded armadillo). Lineage: Eukaryota; Metazoa; Chordata; Mammalia; Cingulata; Dasypodidae. The record is from RNAcentral.